CAGUCGAACCGCUGCACUAAUGAACCCACACCUAUAUGCAUCACAUUCAUGGCAAGGGAAGCUCCUGGACAUCCUCUUCUUCCACUCCCAAAUGGAAGGUAACGGAAAUUCUGGCCCUUGAACUCCAUCUGAUGUUCGCCUAUCUUCUCUUCAGAGCUCUCUAGAAAUCUCUCGGGGAUGAAUCUGUCUGCAUCCUUCCAUAGUUCUGAAUCUCGCAUAAUUGCAUAGACAUUAACGAGUACGCGGGUUUUUGACUUGACAAGGCACCCGUUCACCUGGCAGUCUUCUGCGCAUUCUCUUAUGAUCAGAGGAGCUGAAGGGUGUAGCCUUAGAGUUUCCCUUAGGACAGCUCGGAGGUAAGGGAGGUUAGGAACGUCUGAUUCUUUGACCAGUCUUUUACUUCCAACAACGGUAUUGAUCUCUUCUCUUAACCUGUUGAACGCUUGCGGAUGGUUUAUUAGUUGUCCCAUUGCCCACUGCAUUGCUGCUGCUGAUGUAUCUGUUCCCGCCAUAAAAACAUCCUAAAGAAGUUUCAUGCAACACAGUUUUAUCAUAUCAGAAUAAUCAAAUGAAUAAUUGGAUUCUGUUGGCAGGUGAGAGGAAACAUACCAGCAGGAAAGAUUUCAUGUCAUUCCUCGUUAGCUUCAUUUCAGCAGUGGGGUCUCUGUACGUUUCCAACAAUAUAUCCAAAAUAUCCUUUCUGGUACCAUCUUUCUUUGUCGCCUUUGCCUCACGUUCCUGCAUAAUCCUCUCUACAAGCAGGUCAUAUUUUUCCAUUACGGCCACUAACCUCUUCCCGUUCCCCGAAAAAUCCAGUACUUUCAAUGGCCCCAACACAUCUCCUACACUGAUCUUCCCCGCAAGCUCCAAACAUGUCUUCACCAGCUUCCUUAUCUCUUCUGCUUCAU
This 908-nucleotide long non-coding RNA is filed under the name Capsella grandiflora. RNAcentral's name for it is "long non-coding RNA (CGRA_LNC000874)". The record is from RNAcentral. Lineage: Eukaryota; Viridiplantae; Streptophyta; Magnoliopsida; Brassicales; Brassicaceae.